UUAAAGAAAAUAAAUAUUUUAAAUAUUUAACUGUAAAAUGUGGAAUUCUAUACUGUACUGUUUUUUCGCCAUACUACCUUUACCAGCAUGCUGUGCAGUUUGUACAUUCCCACCGUUAAGGCAGUUUUUUUUUUCAUCUUGGAUGGACCAAUUACAGUGGAGAAAUCCACUUAGCCCGCGAAAUCGCGGCGGCAAUGCGUCAGUUGCUGGAGUGAGGGUGUUCUUUUUGGCGGAGAUAACAGGUCUGUCGGCACGUCAGUUUUUAAAUGGCAAGCAAUUUCUUUCGAAAAGCUAUGAACCAACUGAGGAACAAGGAGUUUCAGAAGUAUCUGAGGAGCACUUCUGGGGACCUGUAAUUAAUUGGGGUCUGCCCAUAGUCACUGUGAUGGAUAUGAGGAAGAGCCCUGAAAUAAUCAGUCGUCGAAUGACCUUCGCUCUUACCGGUUACUUGCUCAUUUUUAUGAGGUUCUCAUAUCGAGUCCAGCGCCAAUACUGGCUCCUCUUCGCAUACCACAUGGCCAAUGUGACGGCACAAACGAUCCAGGGAGGCCGGCUCAUCCG
Brienomyrus brachyistius is the source of this 561-nucleotide long non-coding RNA. RefSeq lists it as uncharacterized. The transcript has 3 exons. The record is from RefSeq and is a predicted model, not a curated record. Lineage: Eukaryota; Metazoa; Chordata; Actinopteri; Osteoglossiformes; Mormyridae.